This 426-nucleotide ribosomal RNA is filed under the name uncultured Lysobacteraceae bacterium. RNAcentral describes it as "bacterial SSU rRNA". It matches the Rfam family "Bacterial small subunit ribosomal RNA", at positions 356 to 774 of the family's 1533-position model. Lineage: Bacteria; Pseudomonadati; Pseudomonadota; Gammaproteobacteria; Lysobacterales; Lysobacteraceae. The record is from RNAcentral.
GGGGAUUAUUGGACAAUGGGCGCAAGCCUGAUCCAGCCAUGCCGCGUGGGUGAAGAAGGCCUUCGGGUUGUAAAGCCCUUUUGUUGGGGAAGAUAAGCAGCCGGCCAAUACCCGGUUGUUCUGACGGUACACAAAGAAUAAGCACCGGCUAACUUCGUGCCAGCAGCCGCGGUAAUACGAAGGGUGCAAGCGUUACUCGGAAUUACUGGGCGUAAAGGCGUCGUAGGUGGUGGUUUAAGUCCGUUGUGAAAGCCCUGGACUCAACCUGGGAACUGCAGUGGAUACUGGAUCACUAGAGUGUGGCAGAGGGUAGUGGAAUUCCCGGUGUAGCAGUGAAAUGCGUAGAGAUCGGGAGGAACACCAGUGGCGAAGGCGACUGCCUGGGCCAACACUGACACUGAGGCACGACAGCGUGGGGAGCAAACA